Molecule: RNA transcript, 5059 nt
Organism: Anguilla anguilla (European eel)
Lineage: Eukaryota; Metazoa; Chordata; Actinopteri; Anguilliformes; Anguillidae
Gene: hps5
Gene name: HPS5 biogenesis of lysosomal organelles complex 2 subunit 2
Exons: 24
Source: RefSeq, a predicted model, not a curated record
GGGGCAGUGGGAAGUGUCCCGCAGCAGAUCAGCUGGUUUAAAGGAAAUUCCUCAGCAGUAGGCUAUAACUUCUUUGUUACCGAUUUAACUGUACGAGGCAUACCAUUUAACUUUGGAAAUCACAUAAGAAGAAUAUAUAAUUCGUUUGGUAAUGACAGCAGGUGAGAGGUGAUCACCAUGCCCUCUCUGCCCGUCGUGCCAGAGGCCUACAGCCAUGUCCUGGCCGAGUUCGACUGCCUGGACCCCCUGCUUGCUGCCUUGCGCCUGGACUCCGGCCGGCUGAAGUGCACCUGCUUGGCAGUGUCCAGGAAGUGGUUAGCGCUGGGUACUUCUGCCGGGGGUCUGCACCUCAUUCAGAGGGAGGGCUGGAAACAACGGCUCAUUCUGACACACAAGGAAGGAUCCAUCACGCAGGUCGCUUGCUGCCCCCACGAUGACGACUUUGUUGCUGUUGCUACGAGUCAGGGCCUGGUGGUGGUGUGGGAGCUUCAGCUGGAGCGGAGAGGGCGCCCCGAGCGGGUGUCGGUGUCCUGGGAGCAUCGGGGCGGCGCCGUGACGGCGCUCUGCUGGGACAGCGCCGCGCUCCGCGUGUUCGUCGGGGACGCCGGCGGGAAAGUGUCCUUCCUCCGCGCCGGGUCCUCCAAACUGGGAAAGGGGUCCGCGUUCGUCAUCUUCCCCGUUCAGACCAUCACCACGGUGGACUCGCGCGUGGUGCAGCUGGGUUUCCAGGACAACCGGCUCCUGGUGUCCUCUCUCAGCCGCUGCUACCUGUGUGACACGGAGAGGGAGAAGUUCUGGCGGGUGGGCAAUAAGGAGAGGGAUGGCGAGUACGGGGCCUGCUUCUUCCCGCAGGGGCGUGGCCUGGGAGCGAGCCAGCCCCCUCUGCUCUACUGUGCACGCCCCGGCUCCCGCGUGUGGGAGGCCAAUUUCAGCGGAGAGGUUCUGAGCACACACCAGUUUAAACAGCUGCUGGCCUGCCCCUCUCUCCCACUCAUCUCCUACAGGUGUGACCCUCAGUACAGUCCGGCCCAGCGGCGCCCCCAGUCCAUCGCUUUCCCCAGACUGCUGUGUCUCAGCGAUCAGAACCUGCUGACCUGGACUGACUCUGCCAUGUACAUCUUCGUACCUCAGAGUGGUCAAGUCCUGCUCUGGACGGAGAUUAAAGAUGUGGUGGACGUGGCGGUCUUCCGCAGCGAGCUGUUCUGUCUCCACGGCGACGGGCGCCUGUCGCACCUCUCGCUGCUGCCCGCCGAGCGCUGCGCGGAGCGGCUGCUGCGGCGGGAGUCCUGGCCGCUGGCCGCCGCCGUCUGCUGCAUGUUCCAGCACGCCGUCGCCCCCUGCAGGGUAAGGAAGAUACUUCCCAUCGACCGCCUGGAGUACCUGAGGUCACAGCUCAGCAACUCCACCCACCAAGACCUCAUCAGCCAAUUGGAGGAAGUCAUCGCCAAGCUGGAGCCCCUGGACUCCGCCUCCAGCAGCCGAAGAAGCAGCAUCUCGUCACACGAGAGUUUCAAUGUGCUGGACUGUGGGAUCUAUCGGGUCAUCAGCCGCAGGGGUAGCCAAUCGGAUGAAGAGACAAGCUCCCUUGUUAGCCAAUCAAUGUUAGAAGAGGAACGGCUCAAGGAAUUUAGCUUUAUUCAGGAGGACGAGCCAGUGGAUCAGGAUCAGCCACCCGAGCGCCCCGAGCCCGAUCGCUCUGAGGCCGGCCUGCAGUUCCACCUCCCUCUCUCAUUCCGCCCCAAACCCCCCCGUGUGGCACUACAGGCCGUCAGAGACAGUGUCUCCAGCUUUGUCAAGAAGACCACGGAGAAGAUCAACACCCUCCAGAUGAACUCCGAGCUCUGGGCUCGUCCCGACCUGAAGGAAGGGGGGCAGAGUGAUGUGGCGGUCACCAGCACCCCAAUCUCCGAGGAGAGGGACGAAGAGUCGAGUGCCGACUCUCUUGGUGCAGAUACGCACCUCCAGGAGCUGAGAGAGGCCACUGACCGAGCAAUCUCUCAAGUGCAGGACCCAGUGGUUCUGUUGGACCCGGCCUGUCUGGGAGAGGUUCUGCAAGAGUGGCUGCCGGUCCUGGAGCGGGUCCUGGGCCCGCACGAUUCUCCCCCGGCCGAGGAGAACCCGCCAGGCCCGGAGAACCCUCUGGAACCAGGCUGCGAGGGGGAGCGUCCCGACAGCAGCGCUACCGCCACCGAGGGGGGGCCAGAGGAGCGGGACGAGGCGCGCCCCGGCCGGGAAGGGGCCGCCGAGGGUGUCCCCGGGCCCCAGGGCCCCGAGGGGGGGCCGGCAGAGCCGAUCCGUGUGACCUCGCCGCAGCCCGUGCCCUCCAACCUGCUGGCCGACCUCUCGCAGCUGGCCUCCCUCAGCCUGGACCUGGGCCGUUUCCAUGGUGGCGCUUCCUGCGAGGAGGGCGCCUGCUCCUUCCUGCGUCGGUACUUCUUCCUGUUGGAUCCCGAGCGCAUGCAAAGGGCCUGUGCGUUCAGGUACCGGGACCUGCCCGCGGUCCGGGAGGCGUACAUCGCAGGCCUGCUCGAGCUGACUCGGUCCAGUCCGGUGGUGCCGGUCAUAGAGAAGGGGGACCUGCUGAAGUCCCUUCGGACACUGAGGGAACUGCAGCCCUGGACCCCACCCCCACUGCUGGCUCACCUGCACAGGCUGUAUGAGAAGCAUGGCGAGCUGGCUGUCCGCUCCUUCGCCCAGUUCUAUCCCACAAUCCUCCCCUCUGACGUCAUGGCCAUGGCCAACAGGAGCCACUUCCUGGCCUACCUGGAUAACCUGGUGCACUCUCGUGCAGAGGAGCAGAGACUCUCCUUCCUUGGGUCCCUCCUUCAGCCCGAAUCACUGCGGCAAGAAUGGCUGGAGCUGGCGCUAUCCCAUGAUGCACCACAAAAAGUCGACACCCUGACCUUAAGCGGACAGCCCAGGUGGCGCUCUCAUCUUUUCCGAUGGGGAUACGGGCGUCUCCUGUCCCUCCUGAUCCAGCUGCCAGCUGACCUGGCCUCCAAGCAGAAGAUGGCGGAGACUUGCAAAAGUUUUGGGUACUGGACAGGCUACCUGUCUCUGUGCUGUCAGCUACAGCGCCGCCCAGAGGCCUUUGCUACCAUCUGCAGCCUGGAUGACUUGAGCCUGUUAGAGGGACCCAAUGGCAUAAACCCUGAGACCCUGGAGGAAUGGAAGCUCCUCCUCCAGCUUUCCCAGCAACAGCGUGACUCUCCUGACCCCGCCCCUGACCCCUCCCCCGGCCCCGCCCAGCCCAACGGUAACGGUCUGUCCAACGGCUCCUGUGAUUCGCGCGGCCAGAUCAGCCCGGAGAGCCUGGUGCUGCGAUUGGCCCGUAUAAUCGGGCCGGACCGGGCCAUUGAGGCACUGGAGGACUGUGGGAUAUGUGUGGAGCUGGGACCACGCUCAAGUCUGAUCUGCGAGCUGCUGAGAAUGGCGGAAAAGAGGCAGAGGGCUUUGAUCCAGACCAUGCUGGAGCGCUGUGAUCGUUUCCUCUGGUCCCAGCAGGCCUAGAGCCGGCCACUGUGACUGCAGGUCUAGAGCCGGCCACUGUGACUGUGACUGCAGGCCUAGAGCCGGCCACUGUGACUGCAGGCCUAGACCAGGCCACUCUGACUGACUGCAGGCCUAGAGCAGGCCACUGUGACUGCAGGUCUAGACCAGGCCACUCUGACUGACUGCAGGCCUAGAGCAGGCCACUGUGACUGCAGGUCUAGAGCAGGCCACUGUGACUGACUGCCGGCCACUGUGACUGACUGCAGGCCUAGAGCAGGCCACUGUGACUGUGACUGCAGGCCUAGAGCCGGCCACUGUGACUGUUGGCCAAGCCUGUGCAACUGUGACUACGGCUGCAAUCAGACCUGGCCCAAAGACUAUCUGAAAUAUUUUAACUCUUUCAUGUGGUUGUACAUUUUGUUUCGUAACAUAUUAGUAUACAUAUAUAAAAAAUAUUGGAGAUCUAUUUGGGUGUUUCCACAUAGUAUGGCAACUAAACGGUUUUAAGGUUUUCAAAUGCGUUUGAACGAGGUCUGGUCAGAAUAUGUGCGUGACCGGCGUUGGUGUCCAGCCUUUCCAAGUCUAAACCAAUACACUUGUAUGACAGGUGGUUAAAUAACAGUAUUUUAUUUUAGUGUUAUGGAUUUUAAAAUGUCUUCAUUGUUGUUUUAAUAUGUAAAAAAUAUUAAUUUCUCAUAUGUCUGGAGUUGGUUAAAUGUUUUGCUGUUUGAGGGUUACUUGUAAAGAGUAAUUCAGCCGAAGCCUUUGAUCAUGUGCAUUUAUGAGCCAAUACUGAUUUUCUUUAAGCGUGUCCUUGAAUGUAUAUAUGAGACCCCAUCGCAUCUGGGUGUUGGGUGCAUUAUUUUAAAAUGUGAGGAUUUAAAGAAAUUAAUCCUGCAAGCCCUCGUUCAUUAAUUUAAGUGAUCAACUCUUUCUCAAGUGCGUCUGUUAGGUACUGAAAAAUGUUUAACCCCAUAUUUAAUGUGUCUACUGCAUACCAAGCUAAACUGCUGCUUAAUCAUGAACAAAUACUGAUGAAAAUAUAGAGAACACAUUUAAUCUCUUAUGAGGUAAUGGAGAGUCUUAAGGUGAAUAGUUGUGUACUUUUAUAUCUGUUUGUUGACCUUGCUUAUAAACUUUCCACAUCCAUCCCUAUGAAAACAAUUUGUGUUUCUUUUUAUUUCUCUGAAAUCGUACCUCAGGGUGCCUGUUCCAAUGCAAGCCGUGUUGGCAGAGAGACAGCUGUACAGGAAUGCAGCUGAAUUGUGUAUCGUUGGUUGUACAGAAAUGCAGUUGCUUGUGUUUUGCUAAUCAUACUGGAAUGCAUGUCUCUUUCUUCUGUGCCGCAUUAUCUUUCCUCAGUGUCCUGUUUAGCAGCUUCCACUUAAGCACGGCCAUAUACCACUAAAGCACCGUUAUAUACCACUAAAGUACUGCUAUAUAUCACUGAAGUACUGCUGUACACCACUACAGCACUGUUGUAUACCAAUAAAGUACUGCUAUAUACCAAUGAAGUACUGCUGUACACCACUACAGCACUGUUGUAUACCAAUAAAGUACUGCUAUA